GCCAUAAUGGCUUAGCUGGUUAAAGCACCAAUCUUCUUUGAUGAGGAGGUUGAGGGUUCAAACCCUGCUGUUUACA
Schizophyllum amplum is the source of this 76-nucleotide non-coding RNA. The record is from the annotation of a GenBank genome assembly. NCBI's taxonomy places the organism in Eukaryota, Fungi, Basidiomycota, Agaricomycetes, Agaricales, Schizophyllaceae.